This 107-nucleotide small nuclear RNA is filed under the name Cervus hanglu yarkandensis (Yarkand deer). The record is from RNAcentral. Lineage: Eukaryota; Metazoa; Chordata; Mammalia; Artiodactyla; Cervidae.
GUGCUCACUUCAGCAGCACAUAUACUAAAAUCGGAACAAUACAGAGAAGAUUGGCACGGCCCCUGCACAAGGAUGACACGCAAAUUCGUGAAGUGUUCCAUAUUAUU